Molecule: unclassified non-coding RNA, 282 nt
Filed under: plant metagenome
Description: partial contains small subunit ribosomal RNA, internal transcribed spacer 1, and 5.8S ribosomal RNA
Rfam family: 5.8S ribosomal RNA (bases 235-282)
Source: RNAcentral
UUUCCGUAGGUGAACCUGCGGAAGGAUCAUUAUUGUAUAACCGAGGUGCGAGGGCUGUCGCUGACCCGAAAGGUCGUGCACGACCGAGUGCCCUCACACACAUCCAUCUCACCCCUAUGUGCACCACCGCGUGGGUCCCCCUUUGGCUUGUUCGGAGGGGGGCUUACGUUUUCACACAAACUUUGUAUGCAGUGUAGAAUGUAUUUUUUGUUUUUGCGAUCACGCAAUCAAUACAACUUUCAACAACGGAUCUCUUGGCUCUCGCAUCGAUGAAGAAGCAGC